Anopheles stephensi (Asian malaria mosquito) is the source of this 47-nucleotide non-coding RNA. Lineage: Eukaryota; Metazoa; Arthropoda; Insecta; Diptera; Culicidae. The record is from Rfam.
CAAACGGUUCUUUUCAGGACCACCAAAAGAUUACUAAAAGAAUUUGU